GGUACGUUUCAUUACCGGAUCGCAGGCGUACGGCGAACCUUUCCACACACCGGCUUCACAGGUUCACUUGGCAAUGACAGGUACUUCUGCGACUGCUGUAAUACCGGAGAAGCAUGGAUGGACACCUUUGCUGUAGUUCUGUGAGCCAGAUAUCUGCUCUGUGUGAAAACGCCAGGUACCCACACUUCAACGAGCUUUGCGUUCAGAGAGAGCUACUGGUAGUCUACACGCCUCGUGUUGCCGAUACGAUCACCGGAUGCGGCUUCUGUAUUCAAGGGACAACAGAUUCAGUGGUGCACAAACUUUUAAGCUAUAUCCUCCGAAGUACAGCCUACCCCCGUUUGUGCGGACCACAGUUCCCGACGGAAAUGCCCCGACAGCGGGGAUCCGUAUCAAGUCCGGAUAAAAGGGGGUGGACUAAGCACGUAAUAAUUUCACGUGCACCGGUGUAGUUUUGAAGAGCUUUCUUGUUCUAACAACAGACUUAGUUCGUGAUCAGAGCUACACCGUGUACACGCUAUAUAUGCCGUGUAAUUUUUAUGGUAGUAGUGUACAUGCAGUAUAAUUUUCUCUCACUCUUUGUCUGUUCCAAAACAGAUGCCUGCUACUUACAGCAUAUUAGUCAUUGAAAGCUGGGCCCCAGAAACAGUCUCCAAAUUCCAGUGUGUGCUUUACACCUAAUCAGAGGACACUAUACAGUCACAGUCAUAUUAUGGAUAUUGUUAUAUUAACAUCAGUAAGUUUCAGGUUAGGGAAUGUACUUUGUACAUAAAAUACAAGCCAGGAAAGCGGCGUAGCUGAGACCUCCUGUUGGGUGCCACCACUGUUGGUGAAUGUUCCAGAGCUCUCAUGACUUCAGCAUUGUUGCAGGUUCUCCAAGACUUCUUCUGAAAAAAAAUAAAUAAAUAAAAACAGAUUUAAAUUA
Ornithodoros turicata is the source of this 925-nucleotide long non-coding RNA. RefSeq lists it as uncharacterized. Lineage: Eukaryota; Metazoa; Arthropoda; Arachnida; Ixodida; Argasidae. The record is from RefSeq and is a predicted model, not a curated record. The transcript is spliced from 2 exons.